GGGGGUGUCUUGGUUUCGACUGGAUGAGCUCAGUGUUGACGGCAUGUCGAGGAUGAUCGUUGGCCUCGUAAAACUUCGAUCAAAACUAUAACUGCGAACGAAGAGUACGCACUCGCUGCCUGAGUUGUGGCGACGUCACCUCCCUGACGGGUGCUAGGGGAAGGUGGCGACGACAGCGCCCUAGUCCGACGGGUUCUUUUAUUGACGUUGGAUGAGAUUUUCAAUAAAAUAGUCGCAAAGCCGCCUGUCUGUCGGCAUGGCUGCGUGACGAUAAGCAGGGAAGACAGAACAAGCAUGUAGAAGUUGGCGCAAUGCCUUCACAGGACAGGGGUUCGAUCCCCCUCACCUCCACCA
RNAcentral lists this transfer-messenger RNA (354 nucleotides) under human gut metagenome. It matches the Rfam family "transfer-messenger RNA". From Rfam's summary of the family: Bacterial tmRNA, also known as 10Sa RNA or SsrA, is named for its dual tRNA and mRNA-like properties. Its role is to liberate the mRNA from a stalled ribosome. The record is from RNAcentral.